CUCUUCACCUCGCGUUAACAAAGCUUAAAACGUAGGCUAAAGGUGGGGCUGAAAGUUUACCCGCUGAAGUAGAAGCAUGCAAAUGCUUCAUAACUAACUAGCAGGAGCUUUGCAGACGACAGAAGAGGACUAACGUUAGCAGAGCACGAGCACAGCCCAGUGAAAGACCACCUGAAGUGGCAGGCAGAAGAUGACAGGGAUGAGAAUGUUUUUCUCACAUCUGAUUGUCUUGGUGUGAUGUGGACCAGUAUCUAAUUCUUUGGGGAGCUUGUAUUGUUUUGUUUAUGUGUCAGUGUAAAGACUGUGGUGCGGAAGUGUCUAGGCGAUCAGAAAUUCUUAAACAUUACAGACUAAAACAAAAAAUUUGGGGCGUGGCCAUCAUUUCAAGUGUAUAUACCCUAAUUGUCCGUGCAUUUUUAAGACUUGGAAUUCACUUUUGACACAUUUGCCGCUUUUGUGUGGCAAAAAAGUCGAAAAUUCAGGAGAGAGAGGCUACUCUCCAGAUGUUGCACAUGACAUCUUUGAAGGCAUAUUACCAGUUGAGUUGGCACACUGCCUCAACUUAAUUAGAUUGAAGAAUGGCACAGCAUCUGAAGUUGAGAGUCAUUGUGGACGACGAUGACUUUAGAAGACUUGAUCUCCAUUCAGGAAUGCCAGAAACUAGUUACACAAUACAAUUUGCCAAGCAUUUGGAAUUGACACAGACUUUCAUAUUCAGUUCAUGGAUCCUGACUUCAACAAUGAAUUCAUGAAUGUUACAUCAAUACAGGACAUAAAGGACAGAAGUACAAUCAAGUUGGUGUACAUGGCAACCCUAACUCUAACCCCCCUAAAUGAUGUGUGUUUGAGUCCAUCUUCUUUAAUGCAGAAUGCUCCCAGCACUUCAGGAUCAUCUGGAGCACCAGUGAGCAGCCAAACAUCUCCCCUUUCCCCACAGGCCUCGUUGUCAUCAACAGACUCGGAUAGCACCAUCAUUCUGCCACAUUCAGACAAUGACUUAAGAUCACGUGCAUGGCCAUGUGAAUUCCCCAUUCCUCGCUUUCCAUACAAUGUAGAGGUGCAGCUUCAGCGUGGAAAUGCCAGCUUCAGAGACACUGGCACUCAACUGAAGAUUAUUCCAGGGUUGAAGUCUGACAUCUUAGAGAAGCUAGCUGAGGAGAUCUUCCAGUAUACAGCAUAUCCACAAAAUCACCAAAAAGAUGAGGUAGCAGAGGCACUUAUCAAAAAACUUCCCUGUUUGAAGGAACCAUCUGCUACUGGUUAUUAUGGCUGGAUGAUUAGCCUAAAAUAUAAAAUGGCUAAUUACAGGACAAAGAUGCGAAACAUUAGAUGUCCAGAAGUGGCUGUAAAUGCUUUGAAAAACAAACGUAGUGAUGAACGCCUCCCAGGCAAAAAUGUAAAGAAGCCUAAAAAGGCUGAAGUCAACUUUUGUCCUUCACACCCUGCUGGCAAAACAGAUGAAAGCUUAGAAUCUGUCAGACUUGAACUGUUGAAUGAUGUCAGACAAAGAAACUGCACCGUGUGUAAAAAAGAUGUCACAAACGUUCUCCUACAGAAGAAAAGAGGUAGUGCAGGAAAAUCCAGCUGCUGGAGAGUUUAAAGCCAGGUGGCCUGCACUUUUUCAUAUUUAUGAGAUAAAUGCUGAAUUCCAGCGCAUAACAACAAUCCCACUUGAAACAACCUUCAUGGCUCAGUUGGACAGCCAUUUACCCCAGCUGACAUCUAUUUUCAAGAAGAAGGCAGGUGUUUCUGGCCAGAACCUAGCCAAACAUCUGGCUGUUUUGCAAGAGGCUACAAGUGACAUGCGUAUAUGUCAUCAACAAGGAAGGUGGAGAAAUUGGACCUCAUGAUGACAUUGGCAUUUAUGUUGAAGGAGAAGUCAUUCUGGAAAACAUUGGAUCUGUAGUCCAAGCAUGUGCAAUGAUGCU
This is a long non-coding RNA of Micropterus dolomieu (smallmouth bass), 1928 nucleotides long. RefSeq lists it as uncharacterized. The record is from RefSeq and is a predicted model, not a curated record. The transcript has 7 exons. NCBI's taxonomy places the organism in Eukaryota, Metazoa, Chordata, Actinopteri, Centrarchiformes, Centrarchidae.